GUAGGUGGCGAGCGUUAUCCGGAAUGAUUGGGCGUAAAGGGUGCGUAGGUGGCAGAUCAAGUCUGGAGUAAAAGGUAUGGGCUCAACCCGUACUGGCUCUGGAAACUGAUCAGCUAGAGAACAGAAGAGGACGGCGGAACUCCAUGUGUAGCGGUAAAAUGCGUAGAUAUAUGGAAGAACACCGGUGGCGAAGGCGGCCGUCUGGUCUGAUUCUGACACUGAAGCACGAAAGCGUGGGGAGCAAAUAGGAUUAGAUACCCUAGUAGUCCACGCCGUAAACGAUGAGAACUAGGUGUUGGGGGAAUAACUCAGUGCCGCAGUUAACGCAGUAAGUUCUCCGCCUGGGGAGU
Molecule: ribosomal RNA, 350 nt
Filed under: uncultured bacterium
Lineage: Bacteria
Description: bacterial SSU rRNA
Rfam family: Bacterial small subunit ribosomal RNA
Source: RNAcentral